RNAcentral lists this unclassified non-coding RNA (3244 nucleotides) under Hevea brasiliensis (rubber tree). Lineage: Eukaryota; Viridiplantae; Streptophyta; Magnoliopsida; Malpighiales; Euphorbiaceae. The record is from RNAcentral.
GUUCAAGCGGAGCAAUAGCAUUUAUAACUGGUCAGACCAUUAGUAAAAAGAUGUGAUCACAUUCAGAAUGAGCAAGUUCACUGCUUUACUUGGCUUCGGUUGAUGUGUGUGUGUAUAUACAUUUAAAACGGGCACAGAUCAAGGUUUGCAAGAUUAUAUGGAUAAGAAGCCCUAGUUCGCAACCUUGAUAUAUGACCUAUAAGUUAAUGCCACAUCUUCAAACACCUUCAGUAAGUAGAAAAACUCAUUUCAAAUUUGCUAAACCUGUUGCACACAAAUAAAGAAUCCGUAAAUAUUAUAAGUAGACAUAAAAUAUGAAAUUAGAACAUCAUAUAGUUUAUGAGAUAAAUAAGGUUAAAAAUAAGCAGCAGUAGAACUACAGGCAUGUAAUUGCAAAUGAGAAUAACGGUGGCAUUUUUUUUUUCUUUCGCUACGAAAGUGCAUGUGUUUUUAGUUUAUUAUUUUCCAGGGAUAAUUAACUAAACAAUUAAAAAGUUAUGUUGCAUUAUUAUUCCUCUUCCCUUGAUGCUUGAUGCUUGAUGCUUGAUGCAUUCUAAAAAGACAAGUUUUGGACAACCUGAACGCAGAAUACAAGGAUUUACCAUAACAAAGAUCCUAAAUGUUAACUGCAAAAUUUCUUUCCAAGAUCCCUCAAAUCACCAUGAAUAUUGUCCUAGUGUUAAAAUUUAGACAUUAUACAUCUUCCUUCUGGGAAAUGAAUAGAAAAUAUAGCAGGUUUUUACCCUACCCCAACAAGCUAAACUCCAACAACACUAAGGUUAACAUAUACCUGACGCAGAUGGGUUUUUGCUCAGUUCUUGUACUUCAUGGUUUCUUUCUCAAACCCAAUAGUUGGGAAUUGUUUAGCAUACUCUUCAACAUCAUGGCGCAGUUUUGCAAUCUCAGAUUGGAAAGUAGGAAUUGUAGCCACAAAGUCCUUCAACUUUGUCCCUGAUUUACAAAAAUUAAUACGGCACAAAUUGAAGACCCACAAUCAACCAUAAAUAUAAAGUCAUGAGGUCACACAUCACAUAACCAGUAUGAGCACCAGUAAUGACCAGAUCUAAGGUAGCAAUUAAUAUAUUAUCCGAGACUUACUAACCUUUGGUUUGAGCCUUGAUCUUCACUGCCAACUGCACAGCAGCGUCAAAGAAUUCUGCUACCUUAACAAAAUCCUCCUCAGCAAAUCCCCGAGAUGUAAGAGCGGGGGUUCCCAUCCUUAUGCCACCAGGAACCAUGGCAGAUACAUCUCCUGGAACGGUGUUUUUGUUUGCAGCAAUGUGAACAGCUUCCAGCACCUUUUCAACUCUGGAGCCAUCAAUACCCUGAUAUCAUGAAAAUUUUAGGGAACAGAGGAAAAAAAAAAUGAAAAGAAAGAACAAGUACCACCAUCCUACUUUUCAUGAUUAAAAUCAAAUAAAUUUACAACCAUGAAAUGGGCCACACAUGCUAUAUUCUGUAAACAUAAGUAAAAUUGUCUUAAAGCAACCUUGUACAACUUUGGCUAAUAUAAAAAAAAAAAUUUCUAUUGGCUGGCCAAAUAAGAGAAAAGAAAAUCCUCCUACCUUGUUCUUCAAAUUCACCAAAACUAAAUGGUUCUCAGUUCCACCAGAAACAAGUUCAUAUCCCUUCUCAACUAAAGUCUGCGAAAGUAGUAAAAUUCCAGGCUAUCAAGAUACUGGAGGAUACCAGAUUAGGUCCAUACUCUAAAGUGAUAAAAUUUCAUCAUCAAAGGUUCUCAUCAAUGAGAUAAAGUUAUGUUUAUAUAAUAAUGUUUUAGUAACAAACUUCACUGCAUCUAAUAAGGUGAUACCUGUGCGAACUUUGAGCAAUUACUAAGAACUUGCUCUUGAUAAGCUUUGUACUCUGUAGUUGUAGCCUACAUGAUAGAGCAUGAAUAUAUGAAUAAAAUAGAAGAGAAAAAUAGUAAAGUGAAAUGCUAUGCUAAUUUUGACUUAACCGGACCAGUCACUUUUGACUUAACCUGCAAAUUUUCAUACUAUAUUAGUUUGAGUGCACAUUCUGACAGGUUUGGCUGAGAUAAAAAUUGCCACCUAUAGAAAUAUAAAAUCAAUGAAAAAUAUCUUAUAAGCAAAAUUACCUGUUUCAAUGCAACUGCUAACCCGGCUAUUGUGUGGUUGUGGGGGCCACCUUGAAGUCCAGGAAAGACAGCUUGAUUGAUUUUGUCUUCAUAGUCAUAGAACACCUGUUGACCUUGUUUGUUAACUUCUUUCACACCCUUCCUGAAGAAAAUCAUGGCUCCACGUGGCCCACGAAGUGACUUGUGAGUUGUGGUGGUCACUAUAUCUGCAUAUUCAAAAGGUGAUGGGAUGACACCACCUGCAACCAAUCCACUAAUAUGUGCCAUAUCUGCCAACAGUAUAGCUUUUUGCUUGUCACAAACCUUGCGAAUACGUGCAUAAUCAUAUAGACGAGCAUAAGCACUAGCACCGGCAACUAUUAACUUUGGUCUGAAAAGAGUGGCACUUUUCUCCAACUGGUCAUAGUCAAUAUAGCCAGUGCUCUCAUUCAAUCUGUAUGGCAUCGUCUCAAAAAAUAUUGACACUGCAGAUAUUUUUUUGGUAUCCGUCUGAUAACCAUGGGAAAGAUGCCCACCAUGAGGAAGAUCAAGUGCCAUGAUUCUUUCAUGAGGUUUUAACAAUGCAGUAUAGACUUGAAAAUUUGCUGGAGACCCAGAUAGAGACUGCACAUUCACUCCCCAUUUUGCAGGAUCCAAUCGAAACGCUUCCAAUGCCCGCUUCUGACAUAAGGAUUCUGCCAUGUCAAUAUACUCGUUUCCUCCAUAAUAUCUUGCACCAGGGUAUCCUUCGCUAUACUUGUUGGUCAUGACUGAUCCAACAGCUUGCAUCACCGACACAGAAGUGAAGUUCUCUGAGGGUAUGAGUUCAAGCCCCUUCCAUUGGCGCGCUUUCUCGAGCUCAAUUAUGUCAGCAAUCUCAGGGUCCACCGCUUCCAGCGGUGCAUUGAGCUGCUUUGGCCACCUGACAUGAGAUUUCUCCUUCUCAUACACAGCUUCAUCAGGCAACGAAGACAUGUAAUAGAGGGAGGUGGCAUUGAAGAGAGGGCGAAUAGGUUUGUCAAUAGAAGAGGAGAGCCUGCGAAGCGCCAUUGCCAUUGCCAUUUCUUCUCUUUCUUUCUCUGAAUUUGAAUAUUGUUCUUGCGUUUUGAUGGACUCGCGGUGGUUAAAAAAAUAUUUAAUUUUAUUUAUAUUUAUUUAUUUAUU